AACGCGAGGUGCGAACGUUGUCCGGAAUCACUGGGCGUAAAGGGUACGCAGGCGGUGGAGAAAGUCGGGUGUGAAAGCCUCAGGCUUAACCUGAGGGGGACGCUCGAUACUUCUCCACUUGAGGAAGGGAGAGGGAGGUGGAAUUCCCGGUGUAGCGGUGAAAUGCGCAGAUAUCGGGAGGAACACCAGUGGCGAAGGCGGCCUCCUAUCCCGUUCCUGACGCCCAGGUACGAAAGCUAGGGGAGCGAACCGG
Molecule: ribosomal RNA, 253 nt
Filed under: uncultured bacterium
Lineage: Bacteria
Description: partial 16S ribosomal RNA
Rfam family: Bacterial small subunit ribosomal RNA
Source: RNAcentral